AGGACCGUGAACAAGCGAUCGAGUGGAUGCAAAAGCGGGCUCUUCUGCAGCCGGUUCAAUUGUGCCCGAGAUGUCCAAAGGAAAUGAAGCUAACUCCCUACAAAAGCAUCGACGGCUACAGGUAUGUAUGUCCCGACUACAAAUGCGGCGGGACCAGCAGCAUCCGGACCAGGUCCAUAUUUGCCAACCACAAGGCUUCGCUUAGGAGCCUUGUGCGUUGUUGUUACGAGUGGGCCAAUGGGGCCAACUCAACUCGUUGUGCGUUGGAGACUGGCCUCUCCCACAACACGGUUCUCUCGUGGUACGAUACGAUCCGAAGUUUUCUUUGGGAAACAUUCGAUCGUACACGAGAGAAGAUAGGGGGCCCUGGCAUGACGGUGGAAAUCGACGAAACUGUCAUCACUCGUCGAAAGUACAACGUCGGCCGGGUCGGUAGUUCCGGUCCUCAGUGGCUUGUGGGUGGGAUAUGCCGGGAAAAUAAGGCCAUUUUCCUGGAGCGUGUCCCGAAACGCUCGCUUGCCGUUUUGAGCGAUCUGGUGGUUCGGCAUGUUGAACCCGGAACGAAAAUUAUGACCGAUCUCUGGAAAGGUUAUAAUGGGCUGGAGGAGCUUGGAUAUCCCCACGAAUGUGUCAACCACUCCAGAAAUUUCCUCAAUCCAGAUGAUAACAAUAUCAACACACAACGGAUUGAGAAUGUUUGGAGAUGGUUGAAGGCAUUUUUGAGAAAACAAGGCACUAAUAUUAAAAGCAACAUGGACAAAUAUUUUGCUGAGCAUAUCUUCCGGAAAUGCAAUGAUGAUGUGUUUGUCGCCUUGAUAGAUGCCUUGGGGAACCAAAUCGAACAUUUUUAAUAAUUAGUUUUCUUUUUUUUAAGCAGGUACACUCAAAGCAGAUUCUCAUUUGGUCCAGAGAAGCUUAGCUGCGAAACGGACCCAAGGAGGAGGUUUUGAUGGCACCUUGCUAAGGUGUAUUCUACAUUUCCCCUCCUUGUAAAAAAAAAAGAAAUUAAAUUUUAAAACAAAUCCCUUUCUAAGAUUUUAAGGCAGCGCAGUUGAAAACAUCGAUUUUUUUAUCGGGGGUUUUCCCCUGCGGUAAGUAAUUCUAGAUCAUAGCGAUCGGCUUGCACGAGAUGAUAACCCAAUUUCCUUCGUUUCCUAACACUUUCUAUUUGCAUGCCUCCUGCCGCACGAGCUCGCCGACCUACGCGUCGAUCCGGUUUUAAGUGGCAAGCGGGAUAAGGGAUAGAUCUAGUACACCGCAUACCAUCCGACCGAUUUCCCCAAUCGGUAGCACACCUCACUAGUCGAGGGGGUUUCCCCUGCGCUCGCCGACCUACGCGUCGAUCCGGAUUUAAGUGGCAGCGGGAAAAGGAAUCUACAACGCCAACCAUCCGACAGUGUUCACGAUAAGAAAGGAAACGUCUCUUAUCGUGGGGUUUCCCCUGCGGUAAGUUAUUUCACAUCACCAGUACAAGACGGUAACAAAAUUUGUAAACUUAAAUGUUUCUUUUUUUUUGCAUGUUCCCUACCGCAUGAGUUCGUGCUACAUGUUGGAAUUACACGCGAAAUGAUAGAGAAUCGUUUUUCAGUACACAUGCCACAACACACUAUCGGUAUUCGUUUUCCUUCAUCUAACUGUAAGAAACAGUCACUGCGUAACAUCCUACGAUAGCCAAGCAUAUAGACGAAACAUUAAUGUUGUAUCAUGCUAACCCGUGACAGGCAAGUGCUCAGUAACUCACGCACGUCCUUCAACGCACAGAUCAUGAAACAUCUGGUGAAUGAGAUUGCUGAGCAAAACACUCACCAAACGGAAUAGAAUGGAUGAGUUUAUUUUAUGCAUCAUGUACCUCCCUGUUUGCCUUAUAAUGUGACCAGUGCCUUUUUUUUUCUUUUGUUUAACGUUAGCAAAGGAUUAGUAUUAGUAUUAGUUUGGUUUAAUUAGAUAUAAGAUUUUAUUGUGCUUAAUAUACGCAUGGACUAUUCAAACAUAUAAUUAUGUGUUUGUUGAGCAACACCAUUUGGGUAAAAAAAAAAUAAUUUACGUAUACUCGUGAGAAAGCACGAACUUUGAGUAAUAAUUAACAUCAGAUUUGCUAAUCAUAAAACCAAACGUUGUGUUAGAGCGUAUGUGAGGCCGUUGUUUGUUACGCUCGUUGUGUUGGCUGCGGUUCUCGGGUCGAACAAAAUGCGGACAAGACAAUUGGUUAUAGACAAUCGAUCCUAGCACUUG
Molecule: long non-coding RNA, 2232 nt
Organism: Anopheles gambiae (African malaria mosquito)
Lineage: Eukaryota; Metazoa; Arthropoda; Insecta; Diptera; Culicidae
Exons: 3
Source: RefSeq, a predicted model, not a curated record